AGAAAACUUCAGCUGUCUACAUAUUGCGCAGCAAAAUGUUUGUACAGAUCAGCUGGUUUCUGGUUACCUACACGUAUGGUGAGUAGAACGUUCCCUGGACAAAUUGGUCCCCGUGGAGAAACCUGGCACCUACGCCAACAAUCGGUCCCACGAUAUACCGUACCUACUCGAACAAUUGGUCCCCAAUUUUUUAUUUUGUUAAAAUCAAUAAUUAUGUUUAACGUUUAACCCCACCUCGUCUAUGGACCUCUUUUUGAUAUAAUAAAAUUAUUCAAACUUUAUUAACUCGUAAAACGAAUUUAAAAAGUGAAUAUAAUAUCAAUAUAAUGCAUUAAUAUACGUAGGUAUUGAAAACAUUUCAGCAAUUUUUGUGGUAUUCAUAAUCAUUUGACAUUUUCGAUUUUUUUAGUUAUUAUUUGAUUUUAUGUUUUGGCCGAUAAGAAAUGCUUAACAAUUUUUACGAUUGUAAUCGUAAACUACACUAAGUAUCUACUAAGUUAAGUAAAUACUUAAGUAGUCCCCCUCCCCACGAUCCAAAUCCAAUAUAGAUUUGGAAUCUCUUGGCGUCAAUAUUAGAGCCAUGAAAAUAUCUAAAGCAAGCAAUUUAACCCUAUAGUUACAGAGAAAAUCAAUAAAGUAAGAAGAAUCAAUAGAAAUAUUGAAAGCAGCAGUCUCUAAAGUUUUCAGAGAAAAUUUGGCUGUAGAAUAUGAACCAGAAACGGCUAACAGAUAUACGGGACGUAGAUUCUGAAACGACGACAAACGAGAUAAAGGAGGCCGUAUACAGGACAGGGAAAAAAAACUACUUGAGUGGUACUUAGUGUCAAAAUAGAUCAAAAUGUUAAAAGUUGAGAGCAAUAUAAUAGAAGUUUUUUAUUAGCGUUUUAAGUUCAAAUUUUGAUGGAAAUCGUAAAAAUUAAAGCUCGCGUUUCGUUAGCAAUGUCUUAUUGUUGCGCAUAUAUAUAAAUUAAAUAACUAUAUGGAUAUCCCAUCUUCCAAACUUCUCUCGUGCAAUAGUUGCACACCUAUCGGCAACAUCAGCUCUUUUUUUUAUGAAUUUUGAAAUCAAAUUACCCUAUACCUACUGUAUUAUUAUAAAUCUUACGAAAAAAUGAUAUAAAAUGGCCGAGGAAUUAUUAUAAUGGAAACAUGUAGGAUAAUAAAAUCAAACUAUAUGUCAGGUUGUGGAAUAUAUCCUAUGCUCAAAGAUCUGUUCUAACAGACUUUUAAGUAGUCGAUAUAACUGCGAACUAUAUAUAACCAUCACUCGCAUCAUCUAAAUUCGAUUUUUCACGAUUUAUCACGCAAUAGGCGCAAACUGUAUGAACCUACCUAUCUUCAUCAUAAUUUGAUAAUAUAUAAUAAUAAACUAUUUUAAUACUGUAUGAUGUAAAUUUAGGAAAUAUUGCUGGCCUAUUUAAAUAUAUAUAUAUUAUAAUAAUAUUUGCGUUGUCUACACAGAAUAACACGUUUACUCAUAAUGUUAUUUACUCGUCCCUAAAUAGUUUAAUGAUUUUUGUUGAAUAGCUUUCGAAACGUAAUAAUCAUUAACAUUACGAUCUUUCGAACGUAUCGGAUUGCAGUAUAUGCGUUUAUUUAAAUAAAUUAUAAUACUGUUGAUAAAUUCAUCAUGUCCGACAAGGAGGAGAGAAUACCCGAAUCGGGAAAUGUGUUAUAGGAGUAAGCAUUUAUACUAAAAAAUCUCUAAGACCAAACACAGAUAAUUCUUUAUUUUUGAUAGAAAUAAUAUAAGGGGAGAAUGAUAGUUUAUUGUCAAAAAUAAUACCUAGGUCUUUAACUAGAUUUGUACGAGUGUAUUUAUUCAGUUUAUAAUUAAAAAUCAAGUUAGUGAGUUUCUUAGAAAAAGUAAUAUUGUUUGAAAUGUAUUAAUAUUUAAGGAAAGGCUAUUAAGUAUAGGCUAUUAUGCACCAGUAUUAACACUUAAAUCAUUCUGAAGUUCCAGGUUAUUUCUGACUAUUAAAUUAAUAAACCUAAUGCAGGCGUAACUCACCAGUAAAACUCAGUGAACCGCGAUAAAUUUUACAUUCAACUCAAACCUGUUUCACUCCUGGCGCAUUUUACGGGAUAACAUAACUUUAUCAAUUAAUAGUUAUCGAGUUAACUAAAAACUAAAACUUUGAUUAAAUAUUAGCCAUUUAUGUUAUGUUUAUAUAGAGAAAAAAAUACAUCUUAACGCAUUGUAACAAAUAUUAAUAUUUAAAUUAUUAAAUAAAAUAUAUGUAAUAAGUAAAUUAUUUCGGUUUACUAAAUUCCUGAAACUACUUUAGAAUUGACAAAAUAGAAAUUUUAACAAUAAUAAAAUCAUUAUUAGCAGUUAAAUACGAACUUAAAAUUGUUUUAGAAACGAUAACAAUCGCGCAGUCUACGGAAGAUCAUAUCCGGGAAUAUUCUGAACCUUCAUGGGAAAUCGUAAUAAUUAUAUGAAAACAAUUAAAUCAAAUAUUAUCACCUUACUAUAUAGUAAUCGUUUCAAAAUUAUGUAUAUCGUAUAAUAUUAUGAUAUUAGGAACGCAGAAGUCAGCGAAUUUUGCACAAUCCGUGAACAAACCAAGGAGUACCGGAAUAUUAUGAUUGGCCCAGGGAGGACGAGUUGACUGCGAAUAAUAACGGGAUGAAAAGAAACGCUGGUUAUUCGUUAAACGACGACGAUAAUCUGCAGGCUCGUAAGAAACGCAGAAUGAGUACGUGCCUAUAAUCAAAAUUAUUAUAAACUGUCCGUUCCUUUAGUUUUAAACGUGAAUCGACCGCAGGCCGGUUAUUGAUCUGUACAGAAUAUAUUUCUUUUGAAUUUGUUACGCGGUAUUCGUGCGAAUUCUAUACCGGAGGGGGGGGGCGUCUUUGAAGUAUUUACCAAGAUUGCAUUUUGACCAGACUAUAAUUUUUGUGCGCCGCCGGGAAAACAUUUUUUUUUUUCUCGAACCGAUCUUAAAGCAUUGAUAGCUAUAUACGGCCAUAAGCUAUUGCGACAAGUAUAAAAAAAAUUGUUUUGUAAUAAUUCUAUAUACGAGUAUAAUAGUAAAAUAUAUAUUAGCCCGUUGGAAUUUUGUUUGGCCUGCCCGGUUGUUUACAUAUAGGUACCUUUCAAAAAGUCGAAAUGACGUCCUUUUACUCGUCGACUUUUUUUCGUAUAAUAUAUCGCCGUAUUUGGCGUUUACAUUUAUAGGAAACAGGGGAGAAGAAUUCAACGCUGCAGACAGUCGUUAUACUACAGCGUAGUAAUUUAAUCGACGGUGCAGACGACAGCCAUCGGUGCAACUAUAAUAGACUUACGGUGUAUGGGAAACGGAAAACCGGUGUAGUAGUUGCACCAACGCGCAAUCGAACGAUGGAACCGAGCAAAUAGUACCACGCCGGUAGGACAUGUUACUCGGGAUCGAACUGCCGGUUCAGUCAGUUGUUUUUAUAGUUUAUAAGUUGAUAAUUUUCUGUUUGUAAAUAUAAAAUGUG
Cinara cedri is the source of this 3468-nucleotide non-coding RNA. Lineage: Eukaryota; Metazoa; Arthropoda; Insecta; Hemiptera; Aphididae. The record is from the annotation of a GenBank genome assembly.